RNAcentral lists this ribosomal RNA (254 nucleotides) under uncultured bacterium. RNAcentral describes it as "partial 16S ribosomal RNA". It matches the Rfam family "Bacterial small subunit ribosomal RNA", at positions 524 to 776 of the family's 1533-position model. The record is from RNAcentral.
UACGUAGGGUGCGAGCGUUAAUCGGAAUUACUGGGCGUAAAGCGUGCGCAGGCGGUUUUCCAAGACAGAUGUGAAAAUCCCCGGGCUCAACCUGGGAAUGGCAGUGGAUACUGGACGGCUAGAAUGCGGUAGAGGGUAGUGGAAUUCCCGGUGUAGCAGUGAAAUGCGUAGAUAUGGGGAGGAACACCGGUGGCGAAGGCGGCCACCUGGACGGUAACUGACGCUGAGACGCGAAAGCGUGGGGAGCAAACAGG